UACGUAGGUGGCAAGCGUUGUCCGGAAUUAUUGGGCGUAAAGCGCGCGCAGGCGGUCCCUUAAGUCUAAUGUGAAAGCCCACGGCUCAACCGUGGAGGGUCAUUGGAAACUGGGGGACUUGAGUGCAGAAGAGGAAAGUGGAAUUCCAUGUGUAGCGGUGAAAUGCGUAGAGAUGUGGAGGAACACCAGUGGCGAAGGCGACUUUCUGGUCUGUAACUGACGCUGAGGCGCGAAAGCGUGGGGAGCAAACAGG
RNAcentral lists this ribosomal RNA (253 nucleotides) under uncultured bacterium. RNAcentral describes it as "partial 16S ribosomal RNA". It matches the Rfam family "Bacterial small subunit ribosomal RNA", at positions 524 to 776 of the family's 1533-position model. The record is from RNAcentral.